CCUACGGGUGGCAGCAGUGGGGAAUAUUGGACAAUGGGCGAAAGCCUGAUCCAGCCAUGCCGCGUGUGUGAAGAAGGCCUUCGGGUUGUAAAGCACUUUCAGUGGGGAAGAAAGCCUUGGGGCUAAUACCCUCGAGGAAGGACAUCACCCACAGAAUAAGCACCGGCUAACUCCGUGCCAGCAGCCGCGGUAAUACGGAGGGUGCGAGCGUUAAUCGGAAUUACUGGGCGUAAAGCGCGCGUAGGCGGUUUGAUAAGCCGGUUGUGAAAGCCCCGGGCUCAACCUGGGAACGGCAUCCGGAACUGUCAGGCUAGAGUGCAGGAGAGGAAGGUAGAAUUCCCGGUGUAGCGGUGAAAUGCGUAGAGAUCGGGAGGAAUACCAGUGGCGAAGGCGGCCUUCUGGACUGACACUGACGCUGAGGUGCGAAAGCGUGGGUAGCAAACAGGAUUAGAUACCCCGGUAGUC
Molecule: ribosomal RNA, 465 nt
Filed under: Vreelandella stevensii
Lineage: Bacteria; Pseudomonadati; Pseudomonadota; Gammaproteobacteria; Oceanospirillales; Halomonadaceae
Description: partial 16S ribosomal RNA
Rfam family: Bacterial small subunit ribosomal RNA
Source: RNAcentral